This 253-nucleotide ribosomal RNA is filed under the name uncultured bacterium. RNAcentral describes it as "partial 16S ribosomal RNA". It matches the Rfam family "Bacterial small subunit ribosomal RNA", at positions 524 to 776 of the family's 1533-position model. The record is from RNAcentral.
UACGAGGGGGGCGAGCGUUAUUCGGAUUCACUGGGCGUAAAGGGCGCGCAGGCGGCCGUGUGUGUGAGGCGUGAAAGCCCGGGGCUUAACCCCGGAAUUGCACCUCAAACUACACGGCUAGAGCAUUGGAGAGGGUAGCGGAAUUCACGGUGUAGCAGUGAAAUGCGUAGAUAUCGUGAGGAACACCAGAGGCGAAGGCGGCUACCUGGACAAUUGCUGACGCUCAGGCACGAAAGCGUGGGGAGCAAAAGGG